RNAcentral lists this unclassified non-coding RNA (227 nucleotides) under uncultured fungus. RNAcentral describes it as "sequence contains ITS1, 5.8S rRNA gene". The stretch from base 179 to 227 matches the Rfam family "5.8S ribosomal RNA", at positions 1 to 49 of the family's 154-position model. The record is from RNAcentral. Lineage: Eukaryota; Fungi.
UCUCCGUAGGUGAACCUGCGGAGGGUUCAUUACUGAGCGAGGGCUUCGGUCCGACCUCCAACCCUUUGUGAACUACAACUCUGUUGCUUCGGGGGCGACCCCGCCGUUUCGACGACGAGCGCCCCCGGAGGCCUUCAAACACUGCAUCUUUGCGUCGGAGUUUAAGUAAAUUAAACAAAACUUUCAACAACGGAUCUCUUGGUUCUGGCAUCGAUGAAGAACGCAGC